AUGAUGUCAUCGUCAAGCCGCAGCACGCGCAGGCGGCGGCAGGUCACUAGGGAUGCAUCCCCGUGGGCGUCGCUGCACGGAGAGCUGCUGGAGCUGGAUCUGAUCGCGUGGCGGGUGCUGGCGGUGGACCUGCGGGACUACGUCCGGCUCCGCGCCGUGUGCGCGCACUGGCGCGCCAGCACCACCUGCCCGAGCGGCCGCGGCAUCGUCGAAGGUCGCUUCCACCCACGGCACUGGACGAUGCUGCCCGAGGGCCACGGCCUCCACCCGGGCCACCGCAAGCUGCGCGAUUUCGUCCGUUUCUUCAGCCUCUCCACCGGCGCCUUCGUCCGCGUCCACCUCCCGCUAUUCAGGGACCACUGCGCUCUCGACUCCAUCGACGGCAUCCUUCUGCUGCAGCGGGACCACGACACCGCCGCCCGCCUCCUCAACCCUUUGACGGGCGACAUCGUCGACUUUCCGCAUCUAUGA
This 471-nucleotide ribosomal RNA is filed under the name Triticum aestivum (bread wheat). Its description in RNAcentral is "partial small subunit ribosomal RNA". Lineage: Eukaryota; Viridiplantae; Streptophyta; Magnoliopsida; Poales; Poaceae. The record is from RNAcentral.